GGACGCCAGUCUGCAUGGAGCCGGCCUUGAAAUACCACCCUUUAAUGUUUGAUGUUCUAACGUGGACCCGUGAUCCGGGUUGCGGACAGUGUCUGGUGGGUAGUUUGACUGGGGCGGUCUCCUCCUAAAGAGUAACGGAGGAGCACGAAGGUUGGCUAAUCCUGGUCGGACAUCAGGAGGUUAGUGCAAUGGCAUAAGCCAGCUUGACUGCGAGCGUGACGGCGCGAGCAGGUGCGAAAGCAGGUCAUAGUGAUCCGGUGGUUCUGAAUGGAAGGGCCAUCGCUCAACGGAUAAAAGGUACUCCGGGGAUAACAGGCUGAUACCGCCCAAGAGUUCAUAUCGACGGCGGUGUUUGGCACCUCGAUGUCGGCUCAUCACAUCCUGGGGCUGAAGUAGGUCCCAAGGGUAUGGCUGUUCGCCAUUUAAAGUGGUACGCGAGCUGGGUUUAGAACGUCGUGAGACAGUUCGGUCCCUAUCUGCCGUGGGCGCUGGAGAACUGAGGGGGGCUGCUCCUAGUACGAGAGGACCGGAGUGGACGCAUCACUGGUGUUCGGGUUGUCAUGCCAAUGGCACUGCCCGGUAGCUAAAUGCGGAAGAGAUAAGUGCUGAAAGCAUCUAAGCACGAAACUUGCCCCGAGAUGAGUUCUCCCUGAGACUUUAAGUCUCCUGAAGGAACGUUGAAGACGACGACGUUGAUAGGCCGGGUGUGUAAGCGCAGCGAUGCGUUGAGCUAACCGGUACUAAUGAACCGUGAGGCUUAACCUU
Molecule: ribosomal RNA, 765 nt
Filed under: Salmonella enterica subsp. enterica serovar Schwarzengrund
Lineage: Bacteria; Pseudomonadati; Pseudomonadota; Gammaproteobacteria; Enterobacterales; Enterobacteriaceae
Description: partial 23S ribosomal RNA
Rfam family: Bacterial large subunit ribosomal RNA
Source: RNAcentral